GCUAGGGUGGCACAGUGAUUUGAGUGCUGGACUACAACUCUGGAGAUCAGGGUUCAAUUCCCCACUUGGUCA
Molecule: transfer RNA, 72 nt
Filed under: Phrynosoma platyrhinos (Desert horned lizard)
Lineage: Eukaryota; Metazoa; Chordata; Lepidosauria; Squamata; Phrynosomatidae
Description: tRNA-OTHER
Source: RNAcentral